Molecule: ribosomal RNA, 465 nt
Filed under: uncultured bacterium
Lineage: Bacteria
Description: partial 16S ribosomal RNA
Rfam family: Bacterial small subunit ribosomal RNA
Source: RNAcentral
GACGAACGCUGGCGGCGUGCUUAACACAUGCAAGUCGAACGGAAAGGCCCUGCUUGCAGGGUACUCGAGUGGCGAACGGGUGAGUAACACGUGGGUGAUCUGCCCUUCACUUCGGGAUAAGCCUGGGAAACUGGGUCUAAUACCGGAUAGGAGCCAUUUUUAGUGUUAUGGUUGGAAAGUUUUUUCGGUGUAGGAUGAUCUCGCGGCCUAUCAGCUUGUUGGUGGGGUAAUGGCCUACCAAGGCGGCGACGGGUAGCCGGCCUGAGAGGGUGGACGGCCACACUGGGACUGAGACACGGCGCAGACGCCGACGGGAGGAAGGAGCAGGGAAUAUUGGACAAAGCGCGCCAGCCUGAUGGAGGGACGCCGGGUGGGGGAUGACGGACUUGGGGUUGUAAACGCAUUUCGCUAGGGACGAGUCUCUUUGUGACGGUACCUAGAGAAGAAGCACCGGCUAACUCCGUG